AGAUGCUCUCUAGUCAGGUGCAAUUUUGCCCGGAGCCCUUGGAUAAGUGAAUGGAGAGAGAUGAGUAGUGAGAAACACAAGAGAACUAUCAGACUUAAUGCCAAACAUAAUGGGGAUGAGGCUGAAGACGAAUAUGCUGCCCACCUCUUGUGAGAUUGGAGUGCCCUGUAAGAGCAACAUGGAGAGGGAAUUCUGGGCCUGUCUGCUUAAGCUGCUGCCCCCGCGACCCGACCUCGGAUAAGCGGAAGAGUAUGGAUGGAUGGAUGGAUUUUCUGUUACAAAAUUGAAAUGACUAAAGUCAUGCAUGCAAAGUGAUAUAGGGUGUGCUAAUCUAGUAUUAUGUUUGUGAGGUGACACUGAAAUCUGGAAUCUUAUAAUGUCAGUUUGACAUUAAAGAAAUUCAUAAAGUUUGCACUACUAAUAUCUUUAGGUAUUUUGCAUUGCAGUUCAGAAUUAUCAUUUGUUAGAUUAGCCACUCUUCUAAUCUGUUCACAAGGAUUAUUACUAUUGUAAUCUCUAGAAUAGUAGUCUGAGCGGGCUAAAAAGAAAGUGUUUUAGUACAUUUAAUAUGGUCUGUCCAUGCAAUUUUGGAAGUCCUGCAGCUUUGUUGCUCUCCAUCUAUGCUCCUGUUUUCAACAUUCUAAUUUUAAGAGCUUGAGAGCUCUGAUUAAACCAGUGUGUUUCUAUGCACUUUAAUGACUUUUGUUUUGAAGGGAGUUACUGUGUCCAAAGAUCACAAUAUAAGUUGAUGUUAGCUGACCCAAAUUGUUUCCCAAAAUAUACACACAUUUUGAUGCAGAGUUGCAAUCCAGAUGUCACACUGUCCUUGAUUUGAUCUGUGAUUAUACUGGUAAGGGGAAAAAAAAAUCAAAUGUAAUUAUGUAGCAAUUAGAAAUAACUUCCUUUAAAUGAGUAAAAUUUAAAUGUUUUAGUCUCACUUUCAUUGGUAAUAAUUAGAUCUAAUGUGUGGUUAUUAAAAUAAAUUAGGCAAUUGACACUACUGUGUUUAACAAAUAAGUAAAACAUUUCCUGAACAUGUCAGUUUCUACAUAAAUGUCUAUAUUACAAUUACCCAUAAGCACUAAAUAAUCAUAAUUUAUGGCCAACUUGGAUAAAUGGCUAAAUAUUACCCUGGUGGUCUGUAGACUGGUACUACAAUUGUGCAGGAAUGUUUUAAUAUUUACUAUGACUUCCUCAAACAAUAAAAAUUUUGGCUACAUUUUUAGAGGUGGUUUGCAGUUUGUCACAUAGAAUUAUCCCAAGGCCACCUCCUCGACCACCACCUCCUGUCUCUUGAUUUAUGAAGGACUAUAUAACCGUUUGGUGUUGCCUCAACUAAGGGAAUGGUGUCAGAUUUACUACGCUAGGUUUCAGUUAGAGGCCACAAAAUAGAUUUUGUACUUAAUAUUGUAUCAUUCA
Long non-coding RNA from Polypterus senegalus (gray bichir), 1419 nucleotides. RefSeq lists it as uncharacterized. The transcript has 3 exons. NCBI's taxonomy places the organism in Eukaryota, Metazoa, Chordata, Cladistia, Polypteriformes, Polypteridae. The record is from RefSeq and is a predicted model, not a curated record.